GAGAAACCAGCUCUGCUGACACUUUGAUCUCAAGCUCUGGCCACCAGAACUGUGAGCAAAUAAGUGUCUGUUGUUUAGGGCACCCUGUCCAUGGCACCUUGCUCCGAUAGCCCCAGGAAACGAAUCCACAGCACAGGUUUGUGCUCAGAAGCCCCUACACCAGCUGCUGCGUGAUGGAGAACAGGAGUCAAAGCACGGAGGCCGGCAGAAAAUCAAGAGGCCGGUCCUGUGCAUGGGCAAGAGGCCUCAGGGAUAUAUUAGCUGAGGAGGAAGCCGAGGUUGGGAAAGGUGGAGGGACUUGCCCAAGUCACACAAACGACAACUCAGCAGAGCUGAGAAUUGGCACCCAGGGCAACUGGAGUCCAUCCUGAGCUUGUCACUGCUGGGCUCUGAGACCUCCUGGUGAAGAAGGACAGUGGCAGAGACAGCCCGACCCAGAGAAACCCAGCAACGCUACUUUCUAAGGGCAUUUUUCCCUCUCAUUUGGAAUCCUGAGCCUCCUGCUCGUCCUGUAGGCCACACCCAGCAAACAGAGCUGGCUGGGAACUGGGAGAAGAGCUGGAGCAACAGCCUGCAUCCAUUUCCUCUUGCUGCAAUAACAACUGAUCACAAGAUGGAGUCUCACUCUGUCAACCAGGCUGGAGUGCACUGGCGCAAUCUCGGCUCACUGCAGUCACCUCCUCUCAGGUUCAAGUGAUUCUCCUGCCUCUGCCUCCUGAGUAGCUGGGAUUACAGGUGCAUGCCACCACGCUCUGCUAAUUUUUGUAUUUUUAGUAGAGACGGGGUUUCACCGUGUUGGCCAGGCUGGUCUGGAACUCCUGACCUCAGGUGAUCCGGCUGCCUCAGCCUCCCAAAGUACUGGGAUUACAGGCAUGAGCCACCACACCUUGCCACAAAUGUGGUUUUUAAAUGUGGUUUUUAAAAAUAUCUUGAUAGCCAUAUUUCCAGUGACUCGGUUUCCUGUGUAAUCCUACGUAUUUGUUAUGCAUGUACAAAGAAGACAGGGCAUGAAGGUGUCACCAGAUGCCACAGCAGCCCACAGCACAGAAAAGGUCACAACCACCUACUUCAGAGAAAGGCACUGGGGACCUUGGCUAUGUGGACAAGAACCAGGAGCUUGGGCUUCCCAGGCACAGCAGGGAAGCCUGCAGGGGCCUGACAGGUGGAUAACCUAGUGCCCAAGGCAGGGCUGGGUGGAGGAGAGAGUGGCACCCUCUGAUUGUCUGAGGUCUCUAUCUCUAGAGGACAGUACCACAGAUUGGAAGCCAGGUCUUUCCAGAGUCCCUGUGACCUCCUCUUUCUGCAUGAAACCCAGAUUGAGUAGGAAAAUGUCCCCAGGAGGAAGCAGCCACUGCCCAAGGGAGACAGCUAGAGACUCGCUGGGCAGGCUACAUCCCUGGGCUUCUCUCGGACCCGACAAGAGCCUGUCCAUCCCUUCACCUCCACUAAGAUCAGGGCACCCCAGGAGUCUCGGCAGGGCCACCCCAGGCUCUGCUCUGCCCUGGAAAGGUCCUCGUUUCACACUGACUCAGUUUCAGUUUUGGAAGGAGGUCAGAGGUUGCCUCCAUGUCCCUUCUCCCCACUGGUUCUCUGGAACCCUCCAUCAUAGAUGUCCCUGCCCUUCCUUCCCUGCUCAGGAGCAAAACCCCCAACCCCCAGGAGCUGGUCUCUCUAAGUCCUCUUGGAUCAGGCCAGGCUCAGCCCUGGAGGCCACAGCUCAGGCCCUGAGCCAGCCCAAGGGGCAGGGCGAGGAACCUACAUUGUUGUGUGCCCAGCCCCUUUAAGGGGCCCAUACGGACAAGAGCAAAUUCAGUAGGUUGCGUCAUCCACUCUAUAGUGAUUAAACAGGGAUGGUGGAGAAGUAGAGAAGUGUCAGCUCUGGAACCAGGUGGCCCUAGAUUGAAAUCCUAGCUCUGCUAUUUACCAGCCAGGUGGCCUUGGAUAGGUGAUUUGACCAAUACCGUUCCUCCGUUUCCCCACCUUGAGUGUUAUUGCAAGGAUUAAAUGAGUUACUACAAAGUAAAGUACUAAAUACAUAUCAGCUAUUAUUAUUAUUACUACUACUAUUAUUAUUAUGAGCCAGGAGAUGGGGACUGUGACAUAGGCUGCUGGUCUCUUCUCUCCUCUUCCAUAAGAAUAGUUCACCCCAUCCUUAGCUGGGUGUAUGGCCACCUGGCCCAAAACUACAUUUCCCAGCAUCCCUUGCUGCUAGAUGUGACCAUGUGAUCAAGUUCUGGCCAAUGAGAUGCCAGGAGAAGUGGUUUGGCCCACUUCCUGGGAGUUUUCUUUAAAGGACAGGGGCAAUGCCUUCUCCUUUUCUUCUCCUUUCUGCUGACCAGAAUGUGAGCAUGGAGUCUGGAGCAGGAGCAGCUGUUGUGCACUGUGAGGUUGAAGCCGUGUGUUGAGAAUAGCAGAGCAACAAAGCAAUAGGAGCUGGAGCCCCUAGGGGCCAUGAAGCCCCUACCAGCCCUGGACUGCUUAGAUUUACUUGAGCAAGAAAUAA
Molecule: long non-coding RNA, 2503 nt
Organism: Homo sapiens (human)
Lineage: Eukaryota; Metazoa; Chordata; Mammalia; Primates; Hominidae
Source: Ensembl